Molecule: ribosomal RNA, 484 nt
Filed under: uncultured bacterium
Lineage: Bacteria
Description: bacterial SSU rRNA
Rfam family: Bacterial small subunit ribosomal RNA
Source: RNAcentral
GAUGAACGCUAGCGGCAGGCUUAAUACAUGCAAGUCGUGGGGCAGCAGGAGUAGCAAUACUUGCUGGCGACCGGCAAACGGGUGCGGAACACGUACGCAACCUUCCUUCAGGCGGGGAAUAGCCCAGAGAAAUUUGGAUUAAUACCCCAUAAUAUUAUGAGAUGGCAUCAUUUUAUAAUUAAAGCUUCGGCACCUGAUGAUGGGCGUGCGCCUGAUUAGGUAGUUGGCGGGGUAACGGCCCACCAAGCCUACGAUCAGUAGCUGAUGUGAGAGCAUGAUCAGCCACACGGGCACUGAGACACGGGCCCGACUCCUACGGGAGGCAGCAGUAAGGAAUAUUGGUCAAUGGACGCAAGUCUGAACCAGCCAUGCCGCGUGGAGGAUGAAGGUCCUCUGGAUUGUAAACUUCUUUUAUCUGGGACGAAAAAAGGAAUUCCUUCCCACUUGACGGUACCCUAGAAUAAGCACCGGCUAACUCCGUGCC